Long non-coding RNA from Gasterosteus aculeatus aculeatus (three-spined stickleback), 2522 nucleotides. NCBI's taxonomy places the organism in Eukaryota, Metazoa, Chordata, Actinopteri, Perciformes, Gasterosteidae. The record is from Ensembl.
AGUUAACAUUUAUUUAUCCUGUUUGCUUGCAGCAGGAGGUUCAACACACCAGCACGUAUCUCAGCGCUCGGCGUAAUGACGUCUCCGAGCAGUGAAAACGCUGAGUUUUUAUACACAUGUGAAGAACAUUCUCCGUGCCAGUUACGAGAAGCUACAAAGCAGGUUGAGAUAAGAACCCAGGUGAAGCUGAGGGCAGCAUUACAUUACAUUACAUGUCAUUUAGCGGAUGCUUUUAUCCAAAGCGACGUACAAUAAGUGCAUAGUUGGCCGGUGCAAAUCAUAAUUAAUUGACAUAAAGUAAAAACGUGGAUCCGGAACUUUCGUACCAAAUAAGAUAUGAACUAAGGCCAUGAACAGAAGUCCUUUGUUUUGAAGCUUCUAUGAGAUCGAGUUGACCGUCCUCCCUUCUCAGGACACAGCUGCAAACUAACAUUUUGUAUCAUGCUGCUCUUUGCACAUCAGGGUCAAAUACGGGACACUUGAGACACGGCUUUAACGCAAAACAUUGUUAUAAUAUAUUUUAUCAGUACAUGCAUCUCACAAUUCCCCCUUUUGAUCUCUUCAGAGAUCACCCCAGCUGUUGGAGAACGUCUGCUGGAUCAGCCUCCUCAUCUUGCCUCCUUUCCAGGCCAAUAAUGGGAUCGUGUCUUGUUCUUGGGGUUUUUUUUUUGCUAAACUAAAGCGGAGAAUUGAGAAAGAUAGAACAGUUACCUCCAUAGCCUCCCCUGUAACCACCCCCUUGGGCUGUCCCAUACGACGUCUCCUCCCAUGGUGGGAGUGGAUACAAAUCAGGGGCGUUACCUCCAGCUGGGGCAGCCUGUGCAACCAUCUAUCGCUCGUCUUUCCCUUUCUGCUCCUUGUCGCUCACUUCCUGUCUUACUUUGGCGAGCUGGAGCUUCAGCAGUCGAGCCUGCAGCUCCUUUAACUGUUUAUCUUCUCCUUUCGCUUCUUCUGUCGCGUCUUGUAAAUGGUGUAACAAAUGUCUCUCCCACACAGCAGAGUCACUACCUGGCAGGUCUGUGUUAGUCAUCAUUUUAGCUUUCACACUCUCUGGUACGCCCUCCAGUACCGCCUGUCUAAACCCUUCCCUGUGCACUCCCGCAGUGCCUGGGUGAUGACCUGUGUGUUUCACCCAUGUUUCCUUACAUUCGUCCAAACAAGCGCGCUGUGUUUUUCCCCAAAACAAAUUUCUUUCCUGCUGCGCUGAAUUUGUUUUCAUGUUUAUUUCUAUUUGUUCUAAUAAUUUUUCAUCAUAUUUUAAAUCCUUGAUUGAAGUGUUACACUUAAAAAGAAAGUAGUUCAGCGAAACUAAAAGUUGCAAUGUCUCAUCAACCUGUUAGUUGAUUUCAUAAAAUCCCCCCUACAACCCGCUUGUUCAUGUAAAGGUUUUUGGCCGACCUUUGACAGCCCAGUAAUGAUGAGUUUAUUCUUCUGAACUGAAAAGCAAACGGACCAUUUAUCCUCUUUAUUCUUUAUAUAUCAUGGUAUUCAAGAAAGAUGCAUAAACCUAAUUAUAUCACUAAAUGAUGGCACUCAGGAUUAACUUUAUUCAACAGUAUGCGUGUGAGGAGGUAUAAAACCUUAUUGGCCUCCACCGUUGCUCCCACACAUCUUCUCACUGCUGUGACCUUUUUACUCCCAUAAAACCCCCGCUGCUUCAACAGAGAUUUAUUACGCUUAUUCUAGCCGUUGUUGCUUUAAAGACUUUAAAUCUUCUUUUUCUUUCUUCAGUGCAUGUCUACAAUUCUACUAUUUUUAAAUCAAAAGUGUAGUAAUAGCUUGGAGAGCUUAAAAAAAAGGCUCUGCAGCAGCAGACUUGUUGUUUGAGAAUCAGUCUCUCCUUUUUUUUUUUUUCUACCCUCGUAUGGAGGCGGUUUUUCCAAAUCACACCGUACUUGGUCUUGUGAGGUCACGAGAGGCGCCGCCGCUCUCUCCAGGGUAGUUCAAAUAGUGCGACGACACCGGGUUCAAAAUGUAAACAAAGGUUUUAAUUUACGUCCUUCAGAUUGAACAGAAAACAGUCAAAACAGGGAGUAACUCAGGCUUCGGUCGAUCUUCGCCGGUAAAACUUAACUAAUGUCUUGUCUUUGGAGGGGAAACGGAAAACCUCUCGGUCUCUCCUGCAUUCGGGAAUCCUUCUGUCUUGGUCUGCUCUUCUGCAGCUCGUCUCUCCUCCCUCAGCGGUGUGUCUUCCGCCCUCAUGGAGGCCUCCAGGUCGUCACACCCUGGUGGGUUUCAGGCAUGAGGGGAAUGCUCUUUCGGGGUUUCGGGGUGGAGUUCCUACCUCCACCAGCAGAUGGAGCCAUAGUGGUUACAGCCAUCGCCGGUGAACGCAUCUCCCUUCCAAGACCGAGCCUCUCGUGACAUCACAGUUGUUUUUGUCUACGCUUUACUUUUUAUCCAACACGAAAACCAUACGGACCUGAAGUCCUCUAUUUUGUCAAUUUCUUUGUGAAGUUUCCUUUUUCCCCAAACAUUCACCUUCUCACAUUUUGCUAUCAAUGUUCCUUUGAUCAGACGUU